CGCAGCUGAGGCAGGUAGAUUUCCCAGAGCCCGAGAUCCUGAUGGUUAGGAAUGUAACCGUUGGAAAGAGCUCAUAGAUCCCAUGCAUUCAUACUUGAAUUAUUUAAACUCUGAGUAAAGGGCCUGGGGCCGGAGAGGAAUGGGGAAGGUAGGAAGAGGAGCAGGCAAGAGGAGGAGGUGGGGAAACGCAAAAAAAGAAGAAUGAAGAAAAGGAAAAGGAACCCAUUCUUUUUCAUCUCUGCGUCCAAAAUGGAAAGGUCUAGUGAGUUUCAAAAGACAAACAUCCCAAGAGAUUCAGCUGAGAGUUCUAACUGCUAUUUGUUAGGGAAUCCAGAAUGGUGCACCUCCUCACUCUGUAACCCUGAAUUGAAAAGAGGGAGUCAGCUUUAUGAGCAGAAAAGGACUGAAGAAAAGAAAAGCAGAACUAAGACAGAAAGCAGCGUGACUGUCUGAAGGUAAUUUUCCUUAAAGGGCAACACAGAAAAGACGUCUCUGCUCGGCCAGGUCAGGCAAGCUGGACCCAUUCCAAUAGGUCGCUGUGAAUUAUGGGUUUGGUUUUUCACUCUUACCUAAAGUGGCCCGUUUUAAAGUUCCUAUUGAUUAAUGGCACCUAGCAGAAGAAAUUCCAUACUGGUUUGGUCUGUCUGCAGGGUAUCUUCAGAGGGAGCUCGGCCCAAAACAGUAACUUCCCACGAACUUAUUAAACCUAAGCAGACUGUAGCUCUCUGAUCGCAUCUCCCCAAGAGCUCCCUUGACCACAUGGAUUUCUCCCUAACAGAAGCCAUAACUGAAUGUCUUACUUCCUUGUUCGUAAUAAUGCCUCAAUGCCUUUUGUUAAAAUAAUUCACAUUCCCAAAAAACUCCAAUAAAUCUGAAUAAGCAGAUAGCUGAUGCCUCCACUCCCCAGAGGCUUCUAGUAAGUUUCCCCCACCUCACUCUGUCUUCUAGAGGCUCAACAACUCAGCACCCUCAGGCACAAAAAGGGGUCUGUUUGGGGAGUAUCUCAUUUCAGAUACUCUUCCAGUUUAAAAAAUCUAUAUUAUUUUAAAUUACAGUGAUUCUUAACUUGUAGUUUUCUGCAGUCAGUUUUCCUAGUUGUCGGCAGGACACUGGCCUUUCCCAGAAGUGCUAGAGCAUCUCAUGACCCUACUGUUCUGGGGAAGGGGAUGAGGAAUGGUCACAGAUGACAACAGAUAAAUACACAAGAUUCCAGUCCUAAUAGAGUAGUCAGGGGAGAGAAAACGGACGGCAGCUGGGAGUGGUAUCUGGAGUGAGCCAAUCUUGUUGCUCCCCGAGUGCGUCUCCGCAGUGAGUAACUUAACGCAGAGGCUUAUAACUGGCCUAAGUGCUGAGAAUAAGGAACUCCUGAGUGGUACACCUGCAGAGGCCUUUUUUUUUUUAUCAACCCCUUCCUGUGAGAGCUGGAGGGUGGGGAAGAAUGUUGUGAAAUGUUGUCUUCAGACCACCAUGGCCGUUGCAGUAGUGAGCGCACUGUAGUUUUGGCUACCUGCUCGUAAUCAAGACAAGAUCGGCCAGCAUUCCAAUAGGCAGCACCAGCUGGAUUCAGUGUGUGGGAGAGAAAGAAAGAGAGAGAGAGAGAGAGAGAGAGAGAGAGAGAGAGAGAGAGAGAAUGAAGGUGAGAAAGGGGUGUGCUGGUGGAUUACAUGGGCAGAAUGGGGAUAGAUAGGCUCAAGAUGUGUGUGUGUGCGUGUGUAUGUGUGUGUGUGUGUGUGUGUGUGUGUGUGUGUGCGCGUGUUUGCAUGUGUUGUCAAAGUUUUAAAAAGAAUGUGCUUGGCUAUUAAGAACAUGGCUCCCAUGCAUUCACCUGGGGCUUCGGUAUCAAUAGACUCUGUGGAUCAAGUCCUAAAGCCUCAAACAGCAAGUGCCAAGAAAUCGAGAAGAGGGAACUAAAGAUUAAAGCAUUAACAAUGUCCUGUUUCCUAAGUAGGGCUGCAAAGACAAGGGACACGAGAGCACCCAGAAAAGUCCGUGCAUGGAUUCCAAAGAAAAUACUACAAGAGCAUUCGAGGAUCAGGUGCCACCACAGUGCUUUUCAAAGAAAUCAAAUUCUUCUUUAUUCAUGUUAGGCUUUCAUAAUAAGAAGCUGUUUGUGACUACUAUGUGUUGGAUACGGCUGAACUGACUAUUGAGAAACUCGCAUCUCUAAAAGUAGCACAGGUCUAGCGGACUGGAUUAGCAUCUGGCCUCUCUCCACUGCACUGAGUGGGAAUGCUUCCUUUCUAAACUCUAAGCUGCUGGGGAAGAGCUCUGCUCACAGAAUGCUACAACUGAACUGGGAGAGACAGGACCUUUGUUAGAGCUGGUUUUGAAGAGGACAUACCUCGUAUCAGAUGACCCUUCUAACUCACCUGUGAAAAUGCUCAAUGCUCUCAAACUAAAGAAAGUGUGUUGGCUAGUUUUACGUCAACUUGACGCAAGCUACAGCCAUCUGAAGAGAGAGCCUCGGUUGAGAAAAUGCCUCUCCAUAAGAUCGGACUGUAGGCAAGCCUUUGGGGCAUUUUCUUAAUCCGUGAUGGAUGUGAGAGGGCCCAACCCCUGAGCUGGUGGUCCUGGAUGCUAUAAGCAGGCUAACCAAGCCCCGAGGAGCAAGCCAAUAAGCAGCAGCCCUCCAUGGGCACCGACAGCACCACCUCCUGCCUCCAGGCUCCUACCCUGCUUGAGUUCCUGUACCCACACCCUCUGAUGAUUAAGAUGAUGAAGUGAAAGCGAAAUCAGCUCUUGCCUCCUCCCUAAGUUGCUUUGGCCACAGUGUUUCAUCAGAGCAACAGGAACCCUAACUAAAACAGGAUGUAAGCUCCCUCUCUCAGGAUGCUUCAGUUCAGAAGGAAUUUAUGCAGGAGCAGGACCUAAACAACUCCUCACCAGGACAGUGGAGUGGUUAGAGAAUCUGCAAAGAACCUAAGAGAUCAGGAAGGAAAAAAAUCAAAACUCACGAAACAUAAUUAGUGUCUUGCCAGUCGCCACUGCUUUAUUGCACUCUGUUCACUAAAAAGCAUUUGCCCCA
Non-coding RNA from Myodes glareolus (Bank vole), 3025 nucleotides. NCBI's taxonomy places the organism in Eukaryota, Metazoa, Chordata, Mammalia, Rodentia, Cricetidae. The record is from RefSeq and is a predicted model, not a curated record.